This 468-nucleotide ribosomal RNA is filed under the name uncultured bacterium. Its description in RNAcentral is "partial 16S ribosomal RNA". It matches the Rfam family "Bacterial small subunit ribosomal RNA", at positions 28 to 506 of the family's 1533-position model. The record is from RNAcentral.
GACGAACGCUGGCGGCGUGCUUAACACAUGCAAGUCGAACGGAAAGGCCCUGCUUUUGUGGGGUGCUCGAGUGGCGAACGGGUGAGUAACACGUGAGUAACCUGCCCUUGACUUUGGGAUAACUUCAGGAAACUGGGGCUAAUACCGGAUAGGAGCUCCUGCUGCAUGGUGGGGGUUGGAAAGUUUCGGCGGUUGGGGAUGGACUCGCGGCUUAUCAGCUUGUUGGUGGGGUAGUGGCUUACCAAGGCUUUGACGGGUAGCCGGCCUGAGAGGGUGACCGGCCACAUUUGGACCGAGGAUCCGCCCAGGAUCCUACCGGAGGCCAGCGUUGGGGAAUAUGGCACAAGGGCCGAAGCCUUAAUGCGCCACCCCCGCUUCCGGAUUACCGCCCUUCGGUUUGAAACCCCCUUCGGCCUGUGCCGAGCCUUAGUUACCGUAAUUGGGUAAAGAACCACCGCUUACCUCCUU